RNAcentral lists this ribosomal RNA (585 nucleotides) under Triticum aestivum (bread wheat). RNAcentral describes it as "partial small subunit ribosomal RNA". Lineage: Eukaryota; Viridiplantae; Streptophyta; Magnoliopsida; Poales; Poaceae. The record is from RNAcentral.
AUGCAUUGGUCCGAAAGGCCUAUCGACUGGAGCCGGGCCGAUCACCCAGAGGUGAUGCCGUCCCCUGGCUCCUACGCAUUGGUGUUGGAUGUCACCCUCGCAACAGAGAGGCAGGCUGCCCGAUUCUCCCGCGUUCUGAUUGAUGGCGGAAGCAGUAUCAACAUACUGUACCGCGACACCAUGGAGAAGUUGAACCUCAAGGCGAAGCAGCUCAUGCCAAGCCGGACUGUUUUCCAUGGCAUCGUACCCGGCCUGUCCUAUUCCCCGAUCGGCAAGAUCAAGAUGGAUGUCCUCUUCGGAGACAAGGAUCACUUUUGCCGAGAAGCAAUCUGGUUCGAGGUAGUGGAUCUGGAAAGCCCUUACCACGCCUUGCUUGGCCGACCUGCUCUGGCCAAGUUCAUGGCUCUGCCCCACUACGCCUACCUGAAGAUGAAGAUGCCGAGGUCGAAGGGGAUCAUCACUGUAGCCGGCGACUACAAGAAGUCCAUCGAGUGCGCUGCAGCCAGCAGCCGGCUGGCCGAGUCCCUCGUAGUGGCGGAAGAGAAGAAGAUGCUGGAGCGAGUUGUGACCAUGGCCGGCAAGUAG